AGUGAACGCUGGCGGUAGGCCUAAUACAUGCAAGUCGAACGGCAGCACAGUAAGAGCUUGCUCUUACGGGUGGCGAGUGGCGGACGGGUGAGGAAUACAUCGGAAUCUACUUUUUCGUGGGGGAUAACGUAGGGAAACUUACGCUAAUACCGCAUACGACCUACGGGUGAAAGCAGGGGAUCUUCGGACCUUGCGCGAUUGAAUGAGCCGAUGUCGGAUUAGCUAGUUGGCGGGGUAAAGGCCCACCAAGGCGACGAUCCGUAGCUGGUCUGAGAGGAUGAUCGGCCACACUGGAACUGAGACACGGUCCAGACUCCUACGGGAGGCAGCAGUAGGGAAUAUUGGACAAUGGGCGCAAUCCUGAUCCAGCCAUACCGCGUGGGUGAAGAAGGCCUUCGGGUUGUAAAGCCCUUUUGUUGGGAAAGAAAAGCAGCAGGUUAAUACCCCGCUGUUCUGACGGUACCCAAAGAAUAAGCACCGGCUAACUUCGUG
This 492-nucleotide ribosomal RNA is filed under the name uncultured bacterium. RNAcentral describes it as "partial 16S ribosomal RNA". It matches the Rfam family "Bacterial small subunit ribosomal RNA", at positions 29 to 507 of the family's 1533-position model. The record is from RNAcentral.